UAUCUAUGAUACAUGGUAGGAGAGCGUUGAAUGCGGGGUGAAGUCAGAGCGAAAGCGCUGGUGGACUGCAUUGAAGUGAGAAUGCCGGAAUGAGUAGCGAGAUUUAUGUGAGAAUCAUAAAGGCCGAAAGACUAAGGUUUCAGAAGGAAGGUUCGUCCGCUUCUGGUUAGCCGGGAGCUAAGGUGAGGCCGAAAGGCGUAGCCGAUGCACAUACGGUGGAGAUUCCGUAGCCGUCGAAAUAUUUAAGCAAAGGGACACUUAUGAAGGACAUGACCCGGGCGAUGGUAGCCCCGGGCGUAAGGGACUGAAAACAAGUAAGGAAGCAUGUUUGGAUUAAGGCGAGAAAAGCUUUGUGUAUAUAUUAGACGUCCGUACCGCAAACCGACACAGGUAGUCAGGAAGAGGAUUCUAAGGCCAACGGGAGAAGGGUAGUUAAGGAACUCGGCAAAUUGACCCCGUAACUUCGGGAUAAGGGGCGGUGCGUAAGCACCCGCAGUGAAUAGGUCCAGGCGACUGUUUAUCAAAAACACAGCUCUCUGCUAAAUCGAAAGAUGACGUAUAGGGGGUGACACCUGCCCGGUGCUGGAAGGUUAAGAGGAGGAGUGCAAGCUCCGAAUUGAAGCCCCAGUAAACGGCGGCCGUAACUAUAACGGUCCUAAGGUAGCGAAAUUCCUUGUCGGGUAAGUUCCGACCCGCACGAAUGGUGUAACGAUCUGGACGCUGUCUCAACUGCCCCCCCGGCGAAAUUGUAGUACCGGUGAAGAUGCCGGUUCCCCGCGGCAAGACGGAAAGACCCCAUGGAGCUUUACUGUAACUUGAUAUUGGGUCUUGGUAUUCUAUGUACAGGAUAGGCGGGAGACUAUGAAACAUACACGCCAGUGUAUGCGGAGUCACCCUUGGGAUACCGCUCUUAGAGUACUGAGAUUCUAACCUGCGGCCGUGAAUCCGGUCGGGGGACAUUGUCAGGUGGGCAGUUUGACUGGGGCGGUCGCCUCCUAAAAGGUAACGGAGGCGCUCAAAGGUUAGCUCAGCACGGUCGGAAACCGUGCCUCUGAGUGCAAACGCAAAAGCUAGCCUAACUGCGAGGCUGACGGGCCGAGCAGUAACGAAAGU
This 1113-nucleotide ribosomal RNA is filed under the name human gut metagenome. RNAcentral describes it as "bacterial LSU rRNA". It matches the Rfam family "Bacterial large subunit ribosomal RNA", at positions 1209 to 2406 of the family's 2925-position model. The record is from RNAcentral.